ACCUCGAAAUUGAUCCACCGUAAACCAUGCAUCCACUUGCAUGUUCAGGUAGAGUGAUAUUGAACUACACAUGCAUAAAUGCAUGAAAAUACACAUGAAUGUUAAGAGAAUGGAUUUCAUAUACGGGAACUAUUAAACAAACGGACAAACACAAACAUCUACAUCCAACAACAUACAAUAAACUCAUUGACUAAGACUUUUAUGUCAUCAACCUGAAUUUCACA
RNAcentral lists this unclassified non-coding RNA (224 nucleotides) under Hevea brasiliensis (rubber tree). The record is from RNAcentral. Lineage: Eukaryota; Viridiplantae; Streptophyta; Magnoliopsida; Malpighiales; Euphorbiaceae.